Mesocricetus auratus (golden hamster) is the source of this 1410-nucleotide long non-coding RNA. RefSeq lists it as uncharacterized. The record is from RefSeq and is a predicted model, not a curated record. NCBI's taxonomy places the organism in Eukaryota, Metazoa, Chordata, Mammalia, Rodentia, Cricetidae. The transcript is spliced from 3 exons.
CCAUGAGGAGCAAGCCAGUGAGCAGCACCCUCCACGGCCUCUGCAUCAGCUCCUGCCUCCAGGUUCCUGCCCUGUUUGAACUCCUGUUCUGACUCCCUUUGGUAUACAGAGAAGGAAGACCUCUUUGUCCUGGAUUUUCUGGGUCAGAUGGACAAACCUCUGGGUGGUCCAGGCUAUAAAUACUGCUGCUUAUGAGACAAUAGAAGAUCCAGGAUCCUUGGUUCCGGAGGAGGGAAAAGUACCUGCCUGGGGGAAUCCAGUGGUGUUGGGGAUCGAGGCCUCCAGAGAAGGGUUUUCAUCCUUCUGGAGACACAAACUGCAGCAUAGAAAUGCAAGAAACACGAAAAGCUAGACACACAGCGACACAAAAUACAACUCCCGGACAAGCUCACAGCUCUUCGGUAACUCAACCCAAAGACAAUGGAGUGGCAGACACGCCAGCCACUAGCAUUCAAGUGUAAAGCCUUGUCUUAAAAAGCUGUGUGACCUCAAAGAGUAUUCAGACAAGCAAAUGGGAUCAAGUCAAGAUAUGGACAAGAAAUUUAGCAACCUGGAUAAGAAAUUCUACAGAGGACUGAAAAAUCAUGAAAAAGGAAUAUCUUGAAAUCAGAAUGCUCAAUAAAUAAAAUCAAGAAACCCAAUGGAAACACCACCAAUAGAAUAAGAAGACAAAAGAAAGAACACCAGGGAUUGAAAUGGGUCAUUAGAACAGGUAGCAAUAACUGAAAAGCUAAUCACGACUUCAACAUGCGAGGCCCCGUGAUGCGAUUAAGAGAUGAAACCUACAAGUCUGUGGUGUAAAAGAAGGGGCAUGAGAUACAGACUUAAGGGACAUCCGAAUAAGGGAGGUAUUUUAGAAUAUCCAAUAAGGAGGGCAGAAAAGAACCUCUCUGUACUGUACUUAAGAUGACGAGAGUGCAGAACAAAAACAGACUAUGGAAAGCCUCAAGGCACAAGGGCCAACACUGGGGUAACCACAGACCUCCCACCAGAAACUCUAAAGGCAGAAGAGCACAGACUGAUAUAGUCUAAAUCCUGACGGGAAGUAACGGCUAACCAAGAUCACCCCCUCCACUAAAGUUAGCUAUCCUUUAAAGUCAAAGGGUAGGACCAACAAGACAGCUCAGUGGGCAAUGCAUUUGCUGCACAAGCCUGACUGUGUAAAUUCUAUUCUCUGAGUCCUGUAAAGACAGAAGGAGAGGAGGGCUCUAUAGAGAUGUCCUGUGACCUCCACAUAGGCUCCUUAGGAUAUGUAUGCUUACACACAUCAUAUAUACACAGCAGCACAAAAUUGAACUAGAAAUAAAGUCCUUCCAGAUAGGUAUAAGCUAAAGCAACUCAUGACUCAAAUAUUGCUAAAGCAAUAGAGACUACCACAACAGUGCCAGAGAUAUUACAGGAGUAUUACAU